This 462-nucleotide ribosomal RNA is filed under the name Triticum aestivum (bread wheat). RNAcentral's name for it is "partial small subunit ribosomal RNA". The record is from RNAcentral. Lineage: Eukaryota; Viridiplantae; Streptophyta; Magnoliopsida; Poales; Poaceae.
GAUCUCCACCUGCAUCAUUGUCAUACUUUCCAGGCUCUUGUGAACAAGGCCAUUAAUGCAGAGACAUCUCAGCUCACUUAUGAGGAGUCUCGUAAGCACAACCGUGAUCUGGGUUCUUCCUCCCGCUCUGGCUCUCAGAAGCGACAGAUUUGGAUUCCGAACUCAGCUCUUCCACCUGGAUAUGCACCGAGGCCAUCUAAUGUGGCGCCUCACCCAGCUCAGCAACGUGCUCCACCCAGGCCUAUUAGUGGACCACUUGCCAAUUUAGGACCACAUCCUACCUCAGGAACUUGCUUCAUGUGCGGAGAACCAGGACAAUAUGCACGUGACUGCCCUCAGUCCAAUUAUACUCCACCCCAGUCUGAGAGGUCUGUUGGCCGUGAAAAGCCAUCAGGCAAGAUGAUCAGUUCCAAGCCAGCCUCCAUUGAACGAGCAUGUGUGCACCAUGUCUCAGCUACAUAA